ACGUGGGUAACCUGCCCUAAGAGUGGGAUAACUCCGGGAAACCGGGGCUAAUACCGGAUAACAUUUUGAACCGCAUGGUUCGAAAUUGAAAGGCGGCUUCGGCUGUCACUUAUGGAUGGACCCGCGUCGCAUUAGCUAGUUGGUGAGGUAACGGCUCACCAAGGCAACGAUGCGUAGCCGACCUGAGAGGGUGAUCGGCCACACUGGGACUGAGACACGGCCCAGACUCCUACGGGAGGCAGCAGUAGGGAAUCUUCCGCAAUGGACGAAAGUCUGACGGAGCAACGCCGCGUGAGUGAUGAAGGCUUUCGGGUCGUAAAACUCUGUUGUUAGGGAAGAACAAGUGCUAGUUGAAUAAGCUGGCACCUUGACGGUACCUAACCAGAAAGCCACGGCUAACUACGUGCCAGCAGCCGCGGUAAU
RNAcentral lists this ribosomal RNA (423 nucleotides) under bacterium PNCr-3. Its description in RNAcentral is "bacterial SSU rRNA". It matches the Rfam family "Bacterial small subunit ribosomal RNA", at positions 115 to 524 of the family's 1533-position model. The record is from RNAcentral.